UUAAGUCAGUCAUUCAGUAAGUAAGUAAGUAAGGUGUUCCUAUUCUUUUUUAACACAGGGCGGGCGUUUUAAGCGCCACAGGAAGAAAAAAACUAAACAAAAUAUAUUUGUUUGUUCGGGCACUGACGUAGUGUCACGGUGUCACUCGAGCCGAGCCAAGCCAAGCCGUAUUUAAAAUGAAAAAGACUGCAAGAAAACGCGCGCAUUCAAGAUCAGAACGAUGGUACGAUGACGAAUUCAGGGCUCGUUUAAACAUUUACCGUUUGCGCUUACUAAAUAGUGUCAUUUGGGAGAACAACAUCUCACUUUGGGCGAUGCGACAAACCGUAGAAUAUGUGCAAGGGUGAACGACAACGAACCGCAUCCCGCCUGCCAACUGAACCGUCACUCCAGUGCGUGUGCUUCUCGCCUUCGGAAGAACCAUUUUGGACUCAAGCUACUUUGAUACCAUUGACAUGCAGGAUUACAAAUGGCUACCUGAAUACUGCUUAAAUUGGCGAGUUCUGUUGCAGCACUUAUCCUCUAUUCUAUGGGCUGGCGACAGCAGCAGUAGCAUACAACCCCACAAGCACUUGUGCUGUUGACUGCCUUCAACGGAGAUGCAUUGGGUCCACCAAGAAUUGAAGCACAACUUUUUCAUCAAGGAUGUGACAUCAGUAAAGGGGACUUGGUUUGCUCCCAGGAGUGCUCCUGGCACACUUUGUCAUUUCCACCCCUGCUGUUCCCGAAUCUCGGAGGUGGUGAAGAGCAAGCUUGUGCGCAAAGGGAAAAUGCACAAUUUACUCGUGUGUCCUGUUGAAAUCUUGAAGAGAUGAAAAAUUCAUGAACAUGGGCUGUCACUGGAGCCGACAUUUCGACAAGUGGACUGGUCUUCUUCAAGGCUCCUACUGCAAAUCUGCACCUGCAGAUUUUUGUACUUAUGGUGUGCCAACAUUAAUUUGAUUGCACUAUGACGCUGUCACAUUUGUCAAACUUCAAUAAAAGUUUUACAUUUUUCUGCUUUGUUAUACAUCUGGGACUUCCUCAAAGGACCCACUCUGAUAAACAUCGAAAGUACCGUGACAGUACCUGUAAA
Long non-coding RNA from Rhipicephalus sanguineus (brown dog tick), 1075 nucleotides. RefSeq lists it as uncharacterized. NCBI's taxonomy places the organism in Eukaryota, Metazoa, Arthropoda, Arachnida, Ixodida, Ixodidae. The transcript is spliced from 5 exons. The record is from RefSeq and is a predicted model, not a curated record.